Molecule: long non-coding RNA, 2897 nt
Organism: Xiphophorus maculatus (southern platyfish)
Lineage: Eukaryota; Metazoa; Chordata; Actinopteri; Cyprinodontiformes; Poeciliidae
Exons: 3
Source: RefSeq, a predicted model, not a curated record
GAAGGUUAAUCUGUUGUGUCGCCUUCCUGCUGUAAGGCAGUAGACCUCUCUAGUUGGAAAUGCGUGGCAUUGGUCUUCUUCAGGUUGUCUGUUUAGUUUCUCUUCGACUUCAGGCACUUUAAAACUACACGCCCCAUAUGUUAAGAAUGUAACUGAGGUAUCUGAGGGAAAGCGUACAAGGGCAGCAGCAGAUGUGAUAAGCUAACCUGGCUGAAAAGGUGUGAGAUUCGGAGUAAUGCCUUUCGGAAUACCAGGAGUCCAGGAAGUUCGUCUCGAGACCCCAAAAUUGAACAGUAGCUGGAAAUAAGCUUAGCUAGGUGUGAUACUGAUUUACUGAAAACAACCUGGAGAGCCCACAGUGCUAUAAACAUAGCAAAACGCUAUGUUUAUAACUGAUGACUGAUGGCUUUGUAUAGGAGAGAUACUGCUUGUCAAGGGCAUAUUUAGCAAUGUACAGAGGCCAAGUCGCCUCUUGAAUUGCUGAACGGGUUCAACACGCCUUACGGGUGUGUCUAGCCGGGAACGUUAUUUUUGUCCUGGCUUGAAUCUUCGAGGUAUAUUGGCAUUAGAGAAACUGCAGGGGGCGAUUAUCUCUCCAAUUCGUUUUGGUUAAACUUUUAAUAAGUAAUGUCUUCUAUAGUGGGAAGAGCGUGGGGGUGGGUGCGCUUCUGGGGUAGUUGUUCCUCACAAAAUACCCCAACGUUGUGCCAAAAGCAGCUUGCUAAAGGUAACUGGGGAUCUUGGAUGUGGGGAGGGUGGAGAAAAGGAAGUGACCAGAGUGCUCUAGGAGAGGAGUACUGGGAAGCACAGGAGAAAUUGCAACCUAUGGAAAAAGAAGAUCUUGGCUCAGGAAAACCAGAGACAGAGCUACAGGUGUCCAGUUGGUGGAGCAAAUAUCUCCCCACGUCAUAUCUGUGGUCAAGAAAACCUCCUCAAAGCAGCCUGAGACAAAGGAAAGGUGAUGUUGAUGGGGACUUUUCUGAUUACGGAACCCCUCCCCCGUCUCCCACUCCUUCUCAGCUGACCUCUCCAUUCAGAUUUUUCACAGAUAGCUGGAAUUUGGAGAUUAUACCAGAGCACUAUGAGAUUUGCUUCAACUUCCUUCGGCAUUUGUUUGACCUAUUUGUAGUUGCCUUCCUGUGGACUGUGUCCCCUCCUGCCAAACUGAUCCUGGAGGUGUUUGGUGUCCAGGGAGCUCUGAGGCUGUGGUUUCAUGGCAUGGCCAUGUUUUUUGUCUCAACAGCUGGAAUGGCAGGAUUGCUGUGGUUGAUUCAGGAGUAUCUCCCUCAGUUUGCUUUGAUUUAUGGCAUCAUACAAGCAUUGGUGAUCUCUGUCAGUGUACGACAAAGUGUAAUCCUUGGAGUGGAAGAAGACAAAGAAAAUAUCCAGGAGGUGAAAGAGACUGGUGAAAAGCAAGACACUGCAGACAAUGGAGAUAAGCUUUUUUCUAAGGAACUGCUGAAGACAAGCUUAGCCUAAGGUGAUGCAGGAAUCCAGCUGCUUCAGCCUUUCUCUAAAUGUUUGACUCCACAGACACUGACAGAUUGUGUAUACCACUAAAUUCAUUAGUUAUAAUCAUAGUUCACUUUGAUUUAGUUUGGAGAAGUUGUUUCUCUUUGUUUUGCCUGAAAUAGUGUCUGUAUUCUGCAAACAUCUACUCAUCACCGUGAAUGUUUAUAAUCCAACUGUAAAUGCUGAGAAUGCUGGGUAUAUGAGUGUUGAGGAGAUGCUACUGUAUGUCAAAUAACAGUCUAGAAAAUAGCCAGGACUUGGUGCCUGUACUGAUAUUUACAUUUAAUUUGUUUCCGUUUACUAUUCUCAUUGGCUCUCAAAAGUCUACUCCCACUUAUUAAAAUACCCAUUAUUGUGAUGUGAAAAAUAUGAUCAUGGUAAAUUAUUUAAAUAUUUUCCACAUAAUGACAUAUGUGCUGCACAGUUCAAGUGGAUAAUAAACAAAUGUGUUAAAAGGAAAAGUAUAAAAGGUGCAAUAACCCAGUUGCAGAAGUGUGUUUGUUUCACCCUUUUCUUUGCACAGUUAAAUCCUUUGUCCCCUCUGCAAAUUAUGGCUUUAGCUAAAGGUGGAGAAUGUUUGAAAUGAUUUAUCAUUGUCUCACUUUACAUCACAAAACCCUGCUGAUGUAACAGGUUUGUAGACUUUUAAGAGCCACUGUGAUGAAUCAGCUGUAAGAUUUGAAAUUGAAACAAAUUAACAGGAAAAAUUCAUAAGACGCCAACAUACACUCCAAAUGUAAAUCAUCACCUUGCCUCUUAUUAAUCUUACUUUCCACAAGGUGACAUGCAAUUAAGACAUUUUAGGAUUGCUAAGCAAAGGAUUUACUGAAGGUGAAUUUGCAAAGCACUAACUGCAUAUUUAGACUCACUACAACUUGUAGUGAGACUAAAUACUCACUACAAGUUGAGUAUUUUGUACAAAUUGUAGUACAAGCACCACAACUUGUACAACUACAAUCUUAAAAUAAUCUGAAAAUAUCGAGCUCCUCUGCCUUCUCCUAAUGUUUCCAACACCACUCUGGCAGAAACAAGCAAUCAGCCUGGAGGAGGGUCUCUGUGCUGUCAAUCACACAUGUGCAUGCAAUUCUCUCUGCUAUAUCUUCUUCUCAAGAGCACAGCCUGCCAUGAAUGCCAAGGCUUGUUAGCAUUCAUGGCAGCAGAUAAACAGUUUUCCUUUAAUGUUAAGUUGUUUCUCCACCAUUUGCACAUUGAGUUGCGCAUACACAAGCAUGGUUGACAGUGCUAAGACACUCCUCUUUCUGGUUUUGAAUGAAAGCAGUGCAUUUCUUUAGAUGCCAAUAGCAGUACAGGAAGGAGGUGGAGGAGAUCAGUUCUUUCACAGAUUAUCUGUCUUACUGUCAUGACAUGUGCAACUUUUUUUUUAU